GUAUGUGUGUUCAGUUAGUCAGUUCAUGAUCCUGUCACUCAUGAUGCCGCAUAAGUCAAAGAAAGACAAGUGUGUGAAAUCCAGCAGAAAGGGAGGCAAACUGCAUGACGAUGAUCAGGACUUUGAAAAUGAGGGUCUGAAUAAGAGGAUCAGGACCAGAAAACACACGUCCGGCCCGAACACACACCGCAGACUGAGUGUGUGUGUGAGCAUCAGCAGAGAGCUGGAGCCACUGGACGCUCUCACA
Molecule: long non-coding RNA, 247 nt
Organism: Rhinichthys klamathensis goyatoka
Lineage: Eukaryota; Metazoa; Chordata; Actinopteri; Cypriniformes; Leuciscidae
Exons: 3
Source: RefSeq, a predicted model, not a curated record